RNAcentral lists this ribosomal RNA (440 nucleotides) under uncultured Novosphingobium sp. Its description in RNAcentral is "bacterial SSU rRNA". It matches the Rfam family "Bacterial small subunit ribosomal RNA", at positions 338 to 795 of the family's 1533-position model. The record is from RNAcentral. Lineage: Bacteria; Pseudomonadati; Pseudomonadota; Alphaproteobacteria; Sphingomonadales; Sphingomonadaceae.
CCUACGGGAGGCAGCAGUGGGGAAUAUUGGACAAUGGGCGAAAGCCUGAUCCAGCAAUGCCGCGUGAGUGAUGAAGGCCUUAGGGUCGUAAAGCUCUUUUACCAGGGAUGAUAAUGACAGUACCUGGAGAAUAAGCUCCGGCUAACUCCGUGCCAGCAGCCGCGGUAAUACGGAGGGAGCUAGCGUUGUUCGGAAUUACUGGGCGUAAAGCGCACGUAGGCGGCUACUCAAGUCAGAGGUGAAAGCCCGGGGCUCAACCCCGGAACUGCCUUUGAAACUAGGUAGCUAGAAUCUUGGAGAGGCGAGUGGAAUUCCGAGUGUAGAGGUGAAAUUCGUAGAUAUUCGGAAGAACACCAGUGGCGAAGGCGACUCGCUGGACAAGUAUUGACGCUGAGGUGCGAAAGCGUGGGGAGCAAACAGGAUUAGAUACCCCAGUAGUC